RNAcentral lists this ribosomal RNA (318 nucleotides) under Triticum aestivum (bread wheat). RNAcentral's name for it is "partial small subunit ribosomal RNA". Lineage: Eukaryota; Viridiplantae; Streptophyta; Magnoliopsida; Poales; Poaceae. The record is from RNAcentral.
AUGAUUUAUGUUGACUUCACAAAUGGAGAACUCGACUACUUAAUUAGUUUUACAUCACAAGGAACCUCUUGUUACAUUUUCUGUUGUCUUCUGCAAAAUACUGGAAUUAGUUGUCUGCUUUUAAAUCAUUAUCUGUAUUAUCGCUUGGUUUUGCAAAUCAUUAGCAGGUCAACACAUAUGUUUCUCCUUGGUCCUCCUAACACAAUAGUAUGGAAGUGCUCCUACAUCCUCACUUCUUGCAUAUUUGAUGUAUGGAUGGUGCUUGUGUGGUGGUGGCGUACCCUGUUCUUGUGCGGGUAUAUAUUGUCAAUUAAAUGA